AACGCGAAGAACCUUACCAAGGUUUGACAUGCAGGGAAAAGCCGUAGAGAUACGGUGUCCGUAAGGGUCCUGCACAGGUGGUGCAUGGCUGUCGUCAGCUCGUGUCGUGAGAUGUUGGGUUAAGUCCCGCAACGAGCGCAACCCUCGUCCUAUGUUGCCAGCGGGUAAUGCCGGGGACUCAUAGGAGACUGCCGGGGUCAACUCGGAGGAAGGUGGGGAUGACGUCAAGUCCUCAUGCCCCUUAUGUCUUGGGCUGCAAACAUGCUACAAUGGCCAGUACAAAGGGUUGCGAGACCGCAAGGUGGAGCGAAUCCCAAAAAGCUGGUCUCAGUUCGGAUUGGGGUCUGCAACUCGACCCCAUGAAGUCGGAGUCGCUAGUAAUCGCGAAUCAGCAACGUCGCGGUGAAUACGUUCCCGGGCCUUGUA
Molecule: ribosomal RNA, 426 nt
Filed under: uncultured Actinomycetes bacterium
Lineage: Bacteria; Bacillati; Actinomycetota; Actinomycetes
Description: bacterial SSU rRNA
Rfam family: Bacterial small subunit ribosomal RNA
Source: RNAcentral